UACGUAGGGGGCAAGCGUUGUCCGGAAUCAUUGGGCGUAAAGCGCGUGUAGGCGGCCAGAAAAGUCCGCUGUGAAAACUCGAGGCUCAACUUCGAGCUGUCGGUGGAAACUUUCUGGCUAGAGUCCGGAAGAGGAGAGUGGAAUUCCUGGUGUAGCGGUGAAAUGCGCAGAUAUCAGGAGGAACACCCGUGGCGAAAGCGGCUCUCUGGGACGGUACUGACGCUGAGACGCGAAAGCGUGGGGAGCGAACAGG
Molecule: ribosomal RNA, 253 nt
Filed under: uncultured bacterium
Lineage: Bacteria
Description: partial 16S ribosomal RNA
Rfam family: Bacterial small subunit ribosomal RNA
Source: RNAcentral